AGAGUGCUUUUGAGCCAAGGAUGACUUGCCGGCGUAAGUAUGGUCUCUUCUUUGGGUAUUGUCGGUGAGACAUCUUGACUCACUUGUGCUCU
Non-coding RNA from Glycine max (soybean), 92 nucleotides. The record is from Rfam. Lineage: Eukaryota; Viridiplantae; Streptophyta; Magnoliopsida; Fabales; Fabaceae.